Onychostruthus taczanowskii (white-rumped snowfinch) is the source of this 355-nucleotide long non-coding RNA. RefSeq lists it as uncharacterized. The record is from RefSeq and is a predicted model, not a curated record. Lineage: Eukaryota; Metazoa; Chordata; Aves; Passeriformes; Passeridae. The transcript has 3 exons.
GCAGAGGCGCCGGCGAUGCCGCCGGGGGCGGGGCCGGCUGAGGGAGGCACAAAGAUGGCGGCGGGUGCGGCGGGAGUUGUUGCCAUGGCGGCCCGCGGGAGGGCCCCCGCCGACGGGACGCUGUGUCCGGCCGCCGGGCGCAGGGGGCUGUGAGCAGGCCCCGCCAUGCCCCAGGCCUCGGAGCACCGCCUGGGCCGCGCCAGGGACCCCGGCGCCGUGGUGACCGCGCAGCCCCGGGCGGGCUCCCGCCUGCCCAGCGGGCACCGAGCGCUGAGCCAGGAGCGCCAUGCGGCCCCCAACGGGCUGUCCCCGGCCCCCAAACUGCGCCUGCUGCCCCCCCGGCCCCCGCCGCCCC